Molecule: small nuclear RNA, 105 nt
Organism: Nomascus leucogenys (northern white-cheeked gibbon)
Lineage: Eukaryota; Metazoa; Chordata; Mammalia; Primates; Hylobatidae
Source: Ensembl
GUGCUCACUUCGGCAGCACAUAUUCUAAAAUUGGAACGAUACAGAGAAGAUUAGCAUGGCCCCUGUAAGGAUGACACUCAAAUUGGUGAAGGGUUCCGUAUUUAA